UACGUAGGGUGCGAGCGUUAAUCGGAAUUACUGGGCGUAAAGCGUGCGCAGGCGGUUUUGUAAGCCAGAUGUGAAAUCCCCGGGCUUAACCUGGGAACUGCAUUGGUGACUGCAAGGCUUGAGUGUGUCAGAGGGAGGUGGAAUUCCGCGUGUAGCAGUGAAAUGCGUAGAUAUGCGGAGGAACACCGAUGGCGAAGGCAGCCUCCUGGGAUAACACUGACGCUCAUGCACGAAAGCGUGGGGAGCAAACAGG
RNAcentral lists this ribosomal RNA (253 nucleotides) under uncultured bacterium. RNAcentral describes it as "partial 16S ribosomal RNA". It matches the Rfam family "Bacterial small subunit ribosomal RNA", at positions 524 to 776 of the family's 1533-position model. The record is from RNAcentral.